Molecule: ribosomal RNA, 274 nt
Filed under: uncultured bacterium
Lineage: Bacteria
Description: partial 16S ribosomal RNA
Rfam family: Archaeal small subunit ribosomal RNA
Source: RNAcentral
AAACCAGCACCUCAAGUGGUCAGGAUGAUUAUUGGGCCUAAAGCAUCCGUAGCCUGCUUUGUAAGUUUUCGGUUAAAUCCAUACGCUCAACGUAUGGGCUGCCGGAAAUACUGCAAAGCUAGGGAGUGGGAGAGGUAGACGGUACUCGGGAGGAAGGGGUAAAAUCCUUUGAUCUAUUGAGGACCACCUGUGGCGAAGGCGGUCUACCAGAACACGUUCGACGGUGAGGGAUGAAAGCUGGGGGAGCAAACCGGAUUAGAAACCCCAGUAGUCC